GACGAACGCUGGCGGCGUGCUUUACACAUGCGAGUCGAACGGAAAGGCCCUGCUUUUGUGGGGUGCUCGAGUGGCGAACGGGUGAGUAACACGUGAGUAACCUGCCCUUGACUUUGGGAUAACUUCAGGAAACUGGGGCUAAUACCGGAUAGGAGCUCCUGCUGCAUGGUGGGGGUUGGAAAGUUUCGGCGGUUGGGGAUGGACUCGCGGCUUAUCAGCUUGUUGGUGGGGUAGUGGCUUACCAAGGCUUUGACGGGUAGCCGGCCUGAGAGGGUGACCGGCCACAUUGGGACUGAGAUACGGCCCAGACUCCUACGGGAGGCAGCAGUGGGGAAUAUUGCACAAUGGGCGGAAGCCUGAUGCAGCAACGCCGCGUGCGGGAUGACGGCCUUCGGGUUGUAAACCGCUUUCGCCUGUGACGAAGCGUGAGUGACGGUAAUGGGUAAAGAAGCACCGGCUAACUACGUG
This 468-nucleotide ribosomal RNA is filed under the name uncultured bacterium. RNAcentral's name for it is "partial 16S ribosomal RNA". It matches the Rfam family "Bacterial small subunit ribosomal RNA", at positions 28 to 507 of the family's 1533-position model. The record is from RNAcentral.